AACUUAAAGGAAAUUGACGGGGCCCGGCACAAGCAGCGGAGCGUGUGGUUUAAUUCGAUGAUACGCGAAGAACCUUACCUGGCUUGACAUGCACGUGGUACUGAUUCGAAAGAUGAGGGACCCUUCGGGGAGCGUGCACAGGUGUUGCACGGCCGUCGUCAGCUCGUGCCGUGAGGUGUUGGGUUAAGUCUCGCAACGAGCGCAACCCCCGUCGCCAGUUGUAUUUUUCUGGCGAGACUGCCGGGAAGUCCCCGGAGGAAGGAGGGGAUGAUGUCAGGUCAGCGUGGCCCUUACGACCAGGGCUACACACACGCUACAAUGGGUGGUACAGAGGGUCGCGAAGCCGCGAGGUGGAGCUAAUCCCACAAAGCCAUCCUCAGUUCGGAUUGCAGGCUGAAACUCGCCUGCAUGAAGCCGGAGUUGCUAGUAACCGCAGGUCAGCACUACUGCGGUGAAUACGUUCCCGGGCCUU
This 472-nucleotide ribosomal RNA is filed under the name uncultured Chloroflexota bacterium. Its description in RNAcentral is "bacterial SSU rRNA". It matches the Rfam family "Bacterial small subunit ribosomal RNA", at positions 898 to 1382 of the family's 1533-position model. The record is from RNAcentral. Lineage: Bacteria; Bacillati; Chloroflexota.